GACGAACGCUGGCGGCGUGCUUAGCACAUGCAAGUCGAACGGAAAGGCCCUGCUUUUGUGGGGUGCUCGAGUGGCGAACGGGUGAGUAACACGUGAGUAACCUGCCCUUGACUUUGGGAUAACUUCAGGAAACUGGGGCUAAUACCGGAUAGGAGCUCCUGCUGCAUGGUGGGGGUUGGAAAGUUUCGGCGGUUGGGGAUGGACUCGCGGCUUAUCAGCUUGUUGGUGGGGUAGUGGCUUACCAAGGCUUUGACGGGUAGCCGGCCUGAGAGGGUGACCGGCCACAUUGGGACUGAGGUACGGCCCAGACUCCUACGGGAGGCAGCAGUGGGGAAUAUUGCACAAUGGGCGGAAGCCUGAUGCAGCAACGCCGCGUGCGGGAUGACGGCCUUCGGGUUGUAAACCGCUUUCGCCUGUGACGAAGCGUGAGUGACGGUAAUGGGUAAAGAAGCACCGGCUAACUACGUG
Molecule: ribosomal RNA, 468 nt
Filed under: uncultured bacterium
Lineage: Bacteria
Description: partial 16S ribosomal RNA
Rfam family: Bacterial small subunit ribosomal RNA
Source: RNAcentral